RNAcentral lists this ribosomal RNA (310 nucleotides) under uncultured bacterium. RNAcentral's name for it is "bacterial SSU rRNA". It matches the Rfam family "Bacterial small subunit ribosomal RNA", at positions 197 to 507 of the family's 1533-position model. The record is from RNAcentral.
UACAUGUAAGCUAUCGCCAAAGGAGUGGGCCGUGCGUCUGAUUAGCAGUUGGUGGGGUAACGGGCUCACCAAGGCGACGAUCAGUAGCCGGUCUGAGAGGAUGAACGGCCACAUUGGGACUGAGACACGGCCCAGACUCCUACGGGAGGCAGCAGUGGGGAAUCUUGGUCAAUGGAGGCAACUCUGAACCAGCCAAGUAGCGUGCAGGAUGACGGCCCUAUGGGUUGUAAACUGCUUUUAUGCGGGGAUAAAUGAGCCUACGUGUAGGUUUUUGCAGGUACCGCAUGAAUAAGGACCGGCUAAUUCCGUG